RNAcentral lists this unclassified non-coding RNA (342 nucleotides) under soil metagenome. RNAcentral's name for it is "partial contains 5.8S ribosomal RNA, internal transcribed spacer 2, and large subunit ribosomal RNA". The stretch from base 1 to 120 matches the Rfam family "5.8S ribosomal RNA", at positions 35 to 154 of the family's 154-position model. The record is from RNAcentral.
GAUGAAGAACGUAGCGAAACGCGAUAAGUAAUGUGAAUUGCAGAAUCCAGUGAAUCAUCGAAUCUUUGAACGCACAUUGCGCCCGCCAGCAUUCUGGCGGGCAUGCCUGUUCGAGCGUCAUUUCAACCCUCGACCUCCCCUUGGGGAGGUCGGCGUUGGGGACCGGCAGCACACCGCCGGCCCUGAAAUGGAGUGGCGGCCCGUCCGCGGCGACCUCUGCGCAGUAAUACAGCUCGCACCGGGACCCCGACGCGGCCACGCCGUAAAACACCCAACUUCUGAACGUUGACCUCGAAUCAGGUAGGACUACCCGCUGAACUUAAGCAUAUCAUAAGCGGAGGA